Neofelis nebulosa (Clouded leopard) is the source of this 1673-nucleotide long non-coding RNA. RefSeq lists it as uncharacterized. The transcript has 2 exons. Lineage: Eukaryota; Metazoa; Chordata; Mammalia; Carnivora; Felidae. The record is from RefSeq and is a predicted model, not a curated record.
UGAAUAAAGAAAAUGAAAUAGAAUAAAACAUUUAAAAAUAAAGUAAUAAAAAAUAAAAUUUUCUCUAUUCUGUAUCCAAGAAUGGGGAAGAAAAGAAAGAAAGGGAAAAAAAGAAAAAAUAAAACAAUUUAAGCAAAAACAGAAGCAAAGAAAAUGAACAGAUAAAGGAACCAGAAAACAGAAUGAAACCUAAAGAAGUUACAUCCUGUUUUCUCUAGGACUGAAAGUAUGAAGUCUUCUAUAGUCUGUGCACUAAGCAGGUGGAGUGACUUCUGCUGGUCUUCUAGAGAAUGUGCUUGGAGGGCGCAGUUGGUGGGGGGCUUGGUGUAAGGGCUCCAUUAUCCACCAGGUGGCACUGCCUAGCUUACUGGGGUGGGUCAGUGCGAUGUGCAUGCAGCUGUGUGGGAGAGGUGGAAAUGGCUUCAUCCAGCUCCCUAGUCUCUGGCACAGGAGCUUUGCACUCUCACCGACCUUUGAUCAAAUAUCUCUUCUUUGUCUCAGGCCUCCGUCCACUCCUCUCCUCCACCCCGUCCAUGUCCAAGCUGUUCACCUGCCAGGUAGCACCUCCCUCCAGAGUUUUAUCUCAGAUGGGGCUGUGUUGCAAAACCCCAUGCUUCUGAGACCACUGUGGCUUGGACCUGUACCAAUUCUCUGGGGGAAGGAUCUUGCUGAGCAAUGGCAGGGUGCCGGCUUGCCCCAGAAGAGUUUCUUGCAAUCACGCAGCGGCAGAGGUUCAGAAAUUAUGGCAAAUCACAACACACAGCCAGCGCCAGGUUUCACCACACUCUGGCGACUUUGUCCCAGUAGCGGCAAACAUAGCAGCAGACAUCUGCUAAGACCUUUGCCUGUGGGGAGGCCAUACGCCCUCUACCAAAUGCACUCCAAAUAGGGCAACCACUUCUCCCUGUGUGGCACAUGGACCCCUCAGACUGCACUGCCUGCUUCUGGGAAUUCGUCCUGUUUCCUCACCAGAACACCACUAGGCACUGAGCUCCAAAACUUCGGACUCUGUGCUCCACUGUUUAUAAAAUCCUGAUGGUAUUGAAACCCUCUCCUUGCUUCCCACCAAUGGUUUUGGGGAACAGGUUUCUUGUUCAGUCCCCUGCUAGUGUUUUCACUCUUACUCUCUCUCUCUUUCCAGCUACUUUCAGGGGAGUGCUUUUCUUGUACAUCCCAAUGCACCACAAUCUCUCCCUUUCUUUCUUUCUGUCCUCUCUCCACAAAAACAGCUCCCUAUCCUCUGUGGCUUUUCUUUCCCCCAGUUCACCUCUCCACACCAUGUACCUGCCGAGUUCUGUGGCUCAAGUUAUGCAGAUUGUUGUGUUAAUCCUCAGAUUGAUUUCCUAGGUAUUCAAACUGGUUUGGUGCUGAUCUGGCUGUGUUUCAGAGACAAGACAAACUCAGGGUCUCCAUGCCGCUCCAACAUCUUGACCAUCUUCUAAAGUUUGAUUCUACACGUGAAGUUUGCAUUCUGUGAUAUCACCACAUUGUUACAUGGACUUGGGCCAGUGUUUCUCCAACUUUGUUGAGCGUUGGAAGGAGAUAGGAAGCUUGUGAAAAAUAUGCUUGGGCCCAACCCCAUGGAUUCCGACUGGGUACGUUUGGGAAGGAGCUUAUUUGUUCUUUGUAUCAAUUUUGCAGAUGAUUCUGAUCCAUUAAAAUGCGAGAACCAA